GGGGAAUAUUGCGCAAUGGGGGAAACCCUGACGCAGCAACGCCGCGUGGGUGAUGAAGGUCUUCGGAUUGUAAAGCCCUGUUUUCUGGGACGAUAAUGACGGUACCAGAGGAGGAAGCCACGGCUAACUACGUGCCAGCAGCCGCGGUAAUACGUAGGUGGCGAGCGUUGUCCGGAUUUACUGGGCGUAAAGGGUGCGUAGGCGGAUGUUUAAGUGGGAUGUGAAAUCCCCGGGCUUAACCUGGGGGCUGCAUUCCAAACUGGAUAUCUAGAGUGCAGGAGAGGAAAGCGGAAUUCCUAGUGUAGCGGUGAAAUGCGUAGAGAUUAGGAAGAACACCAGUGGCGAAGGCGGCUUUCUGGACUGUAACUGACGCUGAGGCACGAAAGCGUGGGUAGCAAAC
This 400-nucleotide ribosomal RNA is filed under the name uncultured bacterium. RNAcentral's name for it is "bacterial SSU rRNA". It matches the Rfam family "Bacterial small subunit ribosomal RNA", at positions 356 to 773 of the family's 1533-position model. The record is from RNAcentral.